Non-coding RNA from Meleagris gallopavo (turkey), 3295 nucleotides. The record is from RefSeq and is a predicted model, not a curated record. Lineage: Eukaryota; Metazoa; Chordata; Aves; Galliformes; Phasianidae.
AUAGUGAGCAGUCCAUCUGCCUCUUGAGUUCUUCUGUAUGGUAAUUGACUGUGUGAUGGGAUUUCCCCUUGGGAAAGGAAUGCCUUUUGAGGUUGUGUCUGCUAUAAAAAUCCCUUAAACCUUGCUGCAGAGAGAUGCCUUGCAGGGUGUGCAAAUUACUGUUAUAACGGCCAGCUGUAUAUUUCAUGAGUCCACACUUCAACCUUCCAGUGAUGUUCUUGAAGAUAAGAGUUGCCUUCGUAUUCUUUGCAUCAGGAGUACUGGCUCUAAAAAUGAGGUUCAUCUGUAUCCUUGUGUCUGCAGAGUUUACCAACACACCUGCUCCCUAUAGCAGCAUCCCUGGCCAUGCAGUGGCUAUGUGUUUCUCUAUUUUGAAGCAGGAAAUUACUGCCUGAAAAAGAAAAUUGAAGUUGAGGCUGAAACUGGAAACGAAGGUCUACUGGUCAGUGAGGAUGUCUGUGUGAACAAAAAGACAUUGCUAGAUGUAAAGCAAUAAUGAUCACAAAGUAAUUGAUGUGCUUUGUUCGGGGAGGCUGGAGAAUGAUUGUCCUGCAAUACCUAAAGCCAAGAGAGUGAAAUUAAAUUCACAGUUGCAAUUUUACAAAUGUAAGCUACAACUGUUGGAGAAUACACUAUUGGCAUUUAAAUGAAGCAGAAGAAGUGGCAAACACAACAAAAUGCCUAUAAUCUGACUAAUUGCUGCAAGUGUUUUAGAAUCCGUGGUAAGGCAGGAAAAAAUUGAAGACAGGGAGGUGAGCAGAAAAUAGAAAGACAGCAAAACAGAUUUAAUGAAGGCAGGGCUUCAUGCUGCCUGAUAUCUUCCUUUGAUAUGAAAUUGUAUCCCUGGGAUUUUCCUUGUUUAGAAAAUCAAAAGUUUGAGGCAGAGCCUUGUGGGAAACUACCAGUAAAAUCAGCAAAUAUGGGGAGCAGUGCAAGAGUUGUAAGGUGAAAAAAGGAAGUGACUGAUCAGGAGGUUUUAGCAGUUGCAUCAAAAGGAGCUGUGUCAGUCUCAGAGAGGUUAUGGAUUACUCUUGGAUUGGUCAACAGACAAAAAAGGAAAUAAUAAAGAAAUACCUUCCUUUAGCAGGUGGCUAGGAGCAACAGAUGUGGCAUGGCUAUGUAAAGGCAGAUACUGUAACGGGCUGUACUGGGAGCAGCACAUCCAAGUAAACAAAUAGUGAUGCCAAUAAGUAAGGCACCGGUCAUGCAUCAGAAAUUGUAUCUGUAAAUGUAAUAUUCUGGUCAACUACAUUCAAGUGAGAUGAAUCUCAGGCCAACAAGAGCAGGAAAGUACAGUGGACAGGAGCAAGUGAGGCUAUUUACAAAAAGAAACUAGUAGAGUAUGACUCUUAUAGUCUACCAAAAGAAGGAUGUCAGUAUGAGAACUGACAUCAAAAUACAUGACAGAGAUAGUACACAAAACACACUCAGCACUGAAGAAGGAAACAUUAAUAAUGCAGGAGAAAGAACAGACAAAUACAGACUAGUGAAGGACACGCUUGAGAUAGAAAUUUGUAACCAUCAGAGAAGUGAGGCUCUGGAAGAGGUCAUUGUACAAGGGACAAACUGUUUUGGAGAUGACGCAUAGUUUGGGCUGCUUGCAAUCUCAAGGGCUGAACUCAAUGAUCUAGGAGCCCUCCUAUGUUAAGGAGGAAUGGGAGUGUGUCAUAGGUGGAUGCGGGGACAUAAUCUUGGUAUGAAUUGUUCUUCACUGCCCUCUGCUGUGGGUAUAUAUAUAUAUAUCUAUUUACGUCAGUAGUGUUUGAGCAGAAUCUGACUGAUUCUUGGAUCUGAUAGCUUUGGAAGUACUAGACAAUCCUUUCACCUCAGAUUUGUCACCCAACAGAAUAUGUCCUGGAGGAUGCUGCCCUCUGAGGAUGUUCUAAAAGACCUGGGAGAAGGCAAUGCAUCAGUUGCAGGAAGGUAGAUAAGCAGUUGAAAGAGAUUCUCUGUUUUGCAUAUCUGUUGUGGGGAAGGAGUAGCAUACAAAGUACGGAAUAUAAACCGUGGGUGAAGCAUGAAUUCUACAGUUACUAAGAGACUUCACAUUCCAUCAAUUCUAAGAAGACCUCUGGUCUUUAAUCCAAUAACUGAGGCUUACAAGCACUUUGUUACCAUAACUCACUAAAUCUUCAUGACUCCAUAGGUCAGAAACACAGCCCUGGUUAUUAGAAUUCAAUAGAUCUCCACCUCCUUACAUCAAGAUUAGGUCUGGUCAUCCUGAUGGCCUUUGCCAUAGCUUGUGUUAAUUUGGAUACAGCAUUUAUCUAUGCAGUUUGACAGUAAAAUUAUCAGUUAUCUGAAUAAUGUAAUAUGAAAAGGAAAUGCAAUUUCAUUUAGAGAUCAACAGAGAUAAUUUAGUAUUCCAAAUAGCCUCUUGACAGAUACCUGCAAAUUAAAGGUUACUUUCUUCCUCCAUUUAAUAACAGGGCUCUCCUAAAUGCAUCCAUCUUAGUAAAAAAAAAUAAAUUCAAAAUCUAAUUUAUCAACUCCCCACAUAGUACUAGGAUAUUUAUAAGCAAGCAACAACUGAAUUAGUUCAGCCUUUAGUAAGCCUAUAAAUAUCACUUAAAGGAAUAGACAUUGAGACUUCUUUUGUGAGCUCAGAUCAGUGAGCUACUAUUGAAAUCCUCCCAAACCUCCCAUUUUGGUUCUUCGUUCCACAGGCAGCUACUAAAGACAUUCAAAACCAAGCUCAUGAUUUUGAUUUACAGUAGUUGUUUUCAGGGCCUGAUAGCACAUUUAAAGAAGUACCUCACAAUUUUUGCAGUUAGGAUUAUUUUCAUGUGGAAUAGGACCAUCCCUUCUGCAAUGUGCUGCAAAGAACUGCUACACCUGUCUGAGGCCUCAGAAACAGGAUUUGCUCUCCCUUGCCCUGCCAGUGUCAUCACUGAUGCCCUGUUAGCCGCACUAAGGCAAAGGUUUGUUCCCCAGAGCUCUCCCUCCUUGGCCCACCUUCAGGGCACUGAAAACAAAGAAAAGACAAUAAGGUAUUGUUUAUAUUUUGAGCUUAGAGCAUCUGUAAAACAACCUAAUUGACUGCUAGAAUCUGAGUAGAAGGUCAUAGUGAUCUCCGCAGAAGAUGCUUGUUACUCACCAGCUAGCCAGUGUGCUUAAAUAAUUAGUUUCUAUGAGAAUAAUAUGCUAGUCUAUUUUUAUUUUAUUUUAUUUUAUUUUUAGCUAUGUGGUUGAGACAUACAUUUUAGCAAUCAGGAAAAUGAGGAUGGAAACGUAGUGCUGUUUCCUGCCUAUGGCACUUUUUCUCCACCAUAUAAACUGCUGGAUCACUGUCAAA